This 72-nucleotide transfer RNA is filed under the name Camelus bactrianus (Bactrian camel). It matches the Rfam family "tRNA". Rfam says of the family: Transfer RNA (tRNA) molecules are approximately 80 nucleotides in length. Their secondary structure includes four short double-helical elements and three loops (D, anti-codon, and T loops). Further hydrogen bonds mediate the characteristic L-shaped molecular structure. tRNAs have two regions of fundamental functional importance: the anti-codon, which is responsible for specific mRNA codon recognition, and the 3' end, to which the tRNAs corresponding amino acid is attached (by aminoacyl-tRNA synthetases). tRNAs cope with the degeneracy of the genetic code in two manners: having more than one tRNA (with a specific anti-codon) for a particular amino acid; and 'wobble' base-pairing, i.e. permitting non-standard base-pairing at the 3rd anti-codon position. RNAcentral also lists the same sequence under 2 other names. Lineage: Eukaryota; Metazoa; Chordata; Mammalia; Artiodactyla; Camelidae. The record is from Rfam by way of RNAcentral.
GUGGGCAUAGCUCACUAGUAGAGUGUUUACCUAGCACGCAUGAGGUCCUGGGUUCAAUCCCCAGUACCACCA